RNAcentral lists this long non-coding RNA (341 nucleotides) under Homo sapiens (human). Its description in RNAcentral is "non-protein coding LINC00370:3". The record is from RNAcentral. Lineage: Eukaryota; Metazoa; Chordata; Mammalia; Primates; Hominidae.
CUUUUUUUGUGGUGAGAACACCUAAAAUCUACUCUCUUGGCAAGUUUCAAGAAUACGGUUUUAUGUGGUCCAGAGAGGCUGCAUCAGUCUCAGGCCCCUAAGCCUUGCCUGGUUCAACAGUAUUAUUUCACUCACGCUGGUCACCCCAUUGUUAGAAAGAGCAAGGAAAGGAGGAUGAGAAAGGAAGAGAGGGAGGGAGAAAAUUGUCCCCAAGAAAAGGAAACUAUUGUCUGGGUGAUGGACAGAUGGUUUCCUCAAUUUAUAUAAUUUAAGAUACAGAUCAUUCCCAAUACAACUUAGAAUCUCAUUAGUCAGUACAAUUUUCUGAAGGUAAGACUGUG